AAAAAAACUAUGUAUUUUUUACUACUACAUAAUUGUAUCUGUUCAACUAUAUAAUUCAAAGAAAGAAAAACAUAAAUACUAAAAUGCUAAGUGAAUAACGUAUUUUAAACUAAGCAUGAAUUUUUUAAAAAAAAUUUUUUUUAUGAAUUAUAUUUAGUUGAUAUAAAAUCAAUUCCUUUCACAUAUUUGGCUCUACAUAUUUUCUAAACGAAAACUAAAACUAAAACUGAUAUUCUCUAAUUUCUUGUGUAGGCACUCUUUGGGACAAGAUCACAAGAGUCUGGACUCUGUAUGAAGACUAGGCAAUUAAAUGUGUACAAGCUGAUGUAUUACACUAUCAUAACCAAAAAGAAAAAACACGUGUCAAUCAAUUAUUCGCUACCUAUCUUUUUCCUAUCGAGGACAAAGUACGGACAGUUAAAGGAGGAUGCGAAGGAGGAUCCGUAUCUCCAUCUCACGGGACAACAAACAAAUUCAUGGCCAGAGAAAAAAUUCUAACGUGACCAGAAACAUGCAUAUUGAAGUGUCACAGACAUGGAAUAUUACCACCAACACGUUAUUCCUACAAAAUUCAAAUAAUGUAAGUACGUUUGUUCUCCGUAUUUAGUAAAUUAAAAACUCAA
This 623-nucleotide long non-coding RNA is filed under the name Arabidopsis lyrata. RNAcentral's name for it is "long non-coding RNA (ALYR_LNC000919)". Lineage: Eukaryota; Viridiplantae; Streptophyta; Magnoliopsida; Brassicales; Brassicaceae. The record is from RNAcentral.